This 245-nucleotide ribosomal RNA is filed under the name uncultured bacterium. RNAcentral describes it as "partial 16S ribosomal RNA". It matches the Rfam family "Bacterial small subunit ribosomal RNA", at positions 28 to 263 of the family's 1533-position model. The record is from RNAcentral.
GAUGAACGCUGGCGGCGUGCUUAACACAUGCAAGUCGAGCGAAGCACCUUGAAGUUUUCGGACUAAGAGGUGACUGAGCGGCGGACGGGUGAGUAACGCGUGGGUAACCUGCCUCAUACAGGGGGAUAACAGUUAGAAAUGGCUGCUAAUACCGCAUAAGCGCACAGCAUCGCAUGAUGCCGUGUGAAAAACUCCGGUGGUAUGAGAUGGACCCGCGUCUGAUUAGGUAGUUGGCGGGGUAACGG